Molecule: long non-coding RNA, 686 nt
Filed under: Hordeum vulgare
Lineage: Eukaryota; Viridiplantae; Streptophyta; Magnoliopsida; Poales; Poaceae
Description: long non-coding RNA (HVUL_LNC017582)
Source: RNAcentral
UCUCUCUCUCUCUCUCUCUUGCAAGGUUUUGAGUCACAAUACCUAUUACAAUCUUUGGAUACACAAAUUAUGGAGUUGAGGAAUGGAGAUGGACGAAGAACAGAGAGCGGCUGUUGCCGGGUUAGUGAUCCACUCGAUGAGCUCCUCUUUGUGCGCAAUGGUUAGGUACUUGUUGAUCACACCCAGAGCUAGCUUCGUGUGGACCUUUCGAUUGGGCUUCUUCUAUCUGGUGGGCCAAGUGACCUGCGAGGGAACCAUGCUGUCAGGAUGUGGGGUCUGCAUGUCAGGGAGCCUGAGAACUUAACAAAUAAGAUUGUAUAUGCGUAUUAAUUUGCCAAUAAUUCAUCAUAAAUGUUUAUAUGAGUAUGUAAGUUAUGAUUGAAUGGGACUAUUGAUUUUUUUGGGUAAACACGUCACAAGUUUAUGUUUACUGAAUAUCUAUUGAUAUAGAUAACUCUUGAAGAUCAAGGUAACUCAACCACAUGUGCAAAAAACAUAAGUAAUCCAGAUUGAAACUAACUUUUAUUGAGCAAUAUACAUGCACAUUGCUCCUAAGGGUUCAUAGAUAUGCUUCAUGAAACUUCAAUUCUUCUUUGUAUAAUAGUUUGAGUUUUGGGAUGGCUUGAUUGCCAUGUUUUGCUAGCAAGAAUCUGGCCAAGGAUGCUUAUAUUUAUAUAUGUCGUGAG